Molecule: long non-coding RNA, 2561 nt
Filed under: Eucalyptus grandis
Lineage: Eukaryota; Viridiplantae; Streptophyta; Magnoliopsida; Myrtales; Myrtaceae
Description: long non-coding RNA (EGRA_LNC001154)
Source: RNAcentral
UGGCCCCCCUUCUUCUCUCUCCUCCCUCUCUUCUUCCUCUCUCUCCCGUGCGACUCCUCCAUCUCCAUCUUCUUCAUCUCCUUCUUUGAAAACCCAGCAACCAGCGAGCUGGAGAAGCCGCCCCCUUCGCCGAUCGUCGCUCGCCGCCGGUGCCAUCGUCGUCGCCACCGCCGCCGUGCGUCCGUCCCGCGCCGCUCGCGCGCGCUCGCCGGCCUGCCGUCGCACCGUCUCCGCUCCGCCUCAGCCCGCGUCCCCAGCAGAUCUGAGGAGGCGUCGAAGCUGGAGCAGCCAUGGCCGUCCACCCGCGCGCUCGUCGCUGGCCGUCCCUCCGCUCGCUCGCCGUCGCAGCCCCGCGAGCUGCUCCGCCCGGCCGUCCUCGUCGUCCCUGCUGUUCCGCGAGUCCAGCAGCGAUUCCAGAUCUGGGGAAGCUCAGCCGGAGCCGUCCAGCUCACCUCCGGCCACCGUGAGGCCCCGCCGUUGGCCGUGCGGCACCGCCGCAGCUCCUCCGCCCGUUUUCGACCCAAGCCGGCGCCGGAUCCGCCCAUUCUCGGCCUCAAACCGCCAUGGACAGCAGCUGCAGAAAAUGGGUAUGCAGCGGACGUUUGGCCCGUUUUGGCCGCCUUCCCGAGCCCGGAUGCUCGGCCCGCUUUGAGGAAAGUCGAUCCUCGCGUCGUCCUCGUCGUUUUGGUUCGCUCGGCUCGCUAAUCCGGUGAGUUUAGCUCACUAAACCUCGCUUAGAGGGUUAAUUAUGCUUUAGGUGUGCUUAGUUUAUGUUAAGUGUGAUUAGGUGGUUAGUUUGAUUUAUUUAAGUGUGGAUUAUAUUAAUGUGUUUAAUUAGCUUAAUUUGUGUUUAAUUUAAAGUUAAAUUGGUGUUUAUAUUAAUAUAAACCUUGAUGUGACAAAAAGGAAUUUACUUUUGAUUUAUUUAAAUAUCUCGAAAUUAUUGAAUAAUUAAAUAAUAUUUUAAUAUUCGAAAUUAUUAAAAUAUUAUUAUUUAAUUAUUUUCGGAAUAAAUUUAAUUAUUUAUUAAAUUCCGAAAAUUUUGGUCGGGACCCUAAAUUCUCAAAAUUUCGUGCCGGUCGCUACGGUACGUUCGGAUUUUGAAAUUGAUGAUUGGAUAUUAUAAAUUGAGUGUGGAUUUCGAAAACUGUGGAUAUUAUUAUUUAAUUAUUUUCGGAAUAAAUUUAAUUAUUUAUUAAAUUCCGAAAAUUUUCAUUGGGACCUUAUUUGCUCAGAAUUUCGUGCCGAUCGCUGCUGUGCAUUUAGAAUUUGAUAUUUAUGAUUGGUUGUGGCGAAUUGAAUGUGAUUUCGAUUUAUGAGGAUUCUUUAUAAAAUUCUAAGUGUGGAAAUUGAUGGGCGAUAGGCCGUUAUAUGCCACCUGAUAAAGGUCGCGCCCGAUGGGGCCGUUAUAUGCCACCUAUUAGAGGUCGCGCCCGAUGGGGCCGUGAUAUGCCACCUGUUAAAGGUCGCGCCGAGUGGGGCCGUGAUGCCACUGAUUCUAAUUUUGCCGAGUAUGCUUUGACUGUGUGAUAACUAAGAGGAAUCGUCCUGGGCUGCUGAGCCGGACUUGCCCCUAUAUGGGUUGCCCACGCGGUGGAUGCCGAUCGCAGUAGAGGCUGGGCCGACUGGAUCGAUGCUCUUUCGGGAAUGCCGUCGACGUAGUGACGAAGCCGUGCUCCAAGGGGGGAGACGAUGCUCCUUCGGGAAUGCCGUCGACGUACUGACGAAGCCGCGCUCCAUGGGGGGGAGGCGAUGCCUGGCAUUAGUGUCAGUAGAUAGCCGAACUGCGAGUAGGCUAUGCCCUUGCGUGGCAGUGAAUAACAAUUGGAAUGCAUGUUGAGUGUUGUUGAUGUGUCGGAUUAUGGGACGGAAUUGUGUGGCAUGGAAUGGGACGUGUCAUAACGAUUUAGUCUUAUAAUCAGGACCCCCGCGGUUGUUAGAUAUAUGAAAGUGAAUACGUUCCGAUUGUUUAAGUUCCUCUUACUAUCUGUGAUUGAGUGAUUUGAAUUGCGCUAACCUGCAGGAAGGAACUGAGGUGAGGUAAGUCUUCUGUGUGAUGUGGCUAGGCCACCUUUGGGCGUAUUUUCUUUCUAAUAGGGGUUUAGGGGGUUGAACUUGCUGAGACGUUGUCUCAGUGGUUAUCGAAUAACCAUUUCAGGUCCCUGGUGGACGGAGCGGCCGGAUAGCUUUGGUUGGCCUUGAGGAGUUGCAGAGGUGAAGUCAUAAGAUUGGAGAACGUGUCCGACCUGUAGGUCGUAGGACAAUUCUUUUUUUUUCAGAGCCGGUCUUUUGUAGACUUUUGGCCGUAGACCCCUGUUUGUAAUUCUGUUGAAUUAUGUUUAAAUGUUAUGUUGUGGUUUUGCUUCCUGCUUUUCUACCCCAUAGUUUAUUGUCAGGGGAUUUAUUUCGCUUCCGCAUGCGUAAUGAAGAAAAUGGGUCGGCGACAUAUCUUGAGAUGUCGCAUUUUUGAUCGACCGUAGUGGGAUGUGCGCGUGCUCGGGGUUCGGGGCGUGACACAUCGUGUUGUUCAGCUUAUGGUGACCCUUGAAAGUCAACUUGGG